CAAAUUCUUGAAGUAAUUGCUGUCCCAAGAAUUGGGUGUGACCAGAUCAAGUGGAGCCAAAUUUCCGUCACCACCAACAGCAGGACAACUACGUCGGCGAGUGGUAGCAAAUCCAGCAUCAAUGUCACUGCCACUGCUAUAUAUCCUAUCGCGAAAUGUUGCACAUUGAGCUUGUCCUAGAGUGUGAGAACCUGACAAAGCAACCAAGUCCCUAGCACUGAGUCCUAUUUUCUGAAAGCGAGAUAUAAGUUUGUCCAGACCAUCCUUAAAACUAGGAAGUUCCUUGUUGG
RNAcentral lists this unclassified non-coding RNA (290 nucleotides) under Hevea brasiliensis (rubber tree). Lineage: Eukaryota; Viridiplantae; Streptophyta; Magnoliopsida; Malpighiales; Euphorbiaceae. The record is from RNAcentral.